GACGAACGCUGGCGGCGUGCUUAACACAUGCAAGUCGAACGGAAAGGCCCUGCUUUUGUGGGGUGCUCGAGUGGCGAACGGGUGAGUAACACGUGAGUAACCUGCCCUUGACUUUGUGAUAACUUCAGGAAACUGGGGCUAAUACCGGAUAGGAGCUCCUGCUGCAUGGUGGGGGUUGGAAAGUUUCGGCGGUUGGGGAUGGACUCGCGGCUUAUCAGCUUGUUGGUGGGGUAGUGGCUUACCAAGGCUUUGACGGGUAGCCGGCCUGAGAGGGGGACCGGCCACAUUGGGACUGAGAGACGGCCCAGACUCCUACGGGAGGCAGCAGUGGGGAAUAUUGCAGAAUGGGCGGAAGCCUGAUGCAGCAACGCCGCGUGCGGGAUGACGGCCUUCGGGUUGUAAACCGCUGUCGCCUGUGACGAAGCGUGAGUGACGGUAAUGGGUAAAGAAGCACCGGCUAACUACGUG
Molecule: ribosomal RNA, 468 nt
Filed under: uncultured bacterium
Lineage: Bacteria
Description: partial 16S ribosomal RNA
Rfam family: Bacterial small subunit ribosomal RNA
Source: RNAcentral